This is a long non-coding RNA of Myodes glareolus (Bank vole), 1528 nucleotides long. RefSeq lists it as uncharacterized. Lineage: Eukaryota; Metazoa; Chordata; Mammalia; Rodentia; Cricetidae. The record is from RefSeq and is a predicted model, not a curated record.
ACCUCCCAAGCUCCCACAUCGUCUUGUUUUGCAGGAGACUUUAAAUCAAGUCCCUUCUGCCUGUGCUUGCCCAGCUGGAAUCAAAGCAGAAUGCAGACUCCACAGACUGGAACACAGAACGUGAGGGGAGCUCAGAGAUGUCCUGGGCUCUGUGUCCUGUCCCCAGAACAAAAUAGAAAAAGGUCACUGCAUUCUUCAGAGGGAGAGAAAGGAUAAACAAAUGGCAGGAGGAGUCUAAAGAGAAAUGAAGAGACAAAAGGGGAGAAGACACCACCCCGGGCAAGGGUGUCAGGCAAGGCUGGCACAGGCAGGUCCAGAAGGGCUCAGGGUGGGGAUCCGGGGUCUUGGCCCACAGAAAUGAGAGGAAUGCAAAGACCCUAAGGGCUGCUCUCCUUAAACCCACUCCUGCCCUCUGGAAUGCCAUCCCAGGGAGGACGCUGCUCCUCCCUGGUGACUCAGGCCUCAGGCACCAACCCUGGAUAAGAUGUAUUUACCCGGAAGCUCUUAUCAAGAUGCAAGACUCAGCAGCCAAACAUCCAGACGAUGGCAAAUUAAACAAGUUCACAGCUCCAGGAAGAUGGCCCACCCUGUAUCCUGCGGAGAUUCACAUCCCACGGAGCUUCCCAGAUUCUGAUUGGAAUACACAUGGCAGAGACACAAGUGGAACUUCGAGCUCCAUGACAACGGAAAGCAGACUGAAGGACACAUUACCAGCGAGAAAUCUUCCAAGGGAAGACCCUGAGUCACAGACCUGUUGCCAGCAGAUGUCUGAGUCGAGGCCAGGCAUGGGCUCUGCAGUUGGCAUAGGAGCAUCACUCAUUCCCUGUGCAUCUCUAGGAAGAAAUUCUGCAUCAGAUUUGACCCUGAAGGUGCUAGCUGCUCCACCUUUAGGGUCUGAAUGGCUGACUCACAAAUUUCAUUCUACCGCAGACAGCCCUGUUCUGACUUCUGCGUCAUUCAGCUCAAAAGUCUGUAGACGGAAUCCCCUGUUUCUCAAAAUUCCCAGAAGGAAGCCAGGGAGUACCCCAGAACCUCCCACCUGGGAAACUCCCAACAAACAAAAGACUUGUGUCCAACACCCAGUGUGGCUGCUUGAGAACCACAAGGGAGAAGGCGGCCCUCACACAGUCAAGAGCCUCAAGACAGGGUGCCCCUGAGGUAACUCCAGAUUAUCUCUAUGUUGGGCUCCGUCUGUGCACCUGGCCCAUAGUGGAACCAGUAAAUCCCUAACAUGCCGGGCUACACAGUGGCUGCUGCAUCCGGAGGGCCAGGGACACAGGAACAGCACAUGGCUGGCUGGUGACAGCAGAGGCAGGAGGAGACAAUGGCCAGGGCAGGAGAGGCCCUGGUACUGUGGGACUGUGUUUUGUCAUUUGUCAAUCUUCCUUCCCAGAGCUGGGGGUCAGAUGGGACUCAGAGACAAGGGGUGAUGUCAGUGUUUUGCACCCUUCAUAUCUACCACAUACUCUAUAUCCAGAGCAACUAAAUCAUGCACAAGACAGACAGACAGACAGACAGACAGCAGUAC